CCUGCUCAAUGAAACUAAAUAGCCGCUAUUUUAUAGUGCUAAGGUAGCAUAAUCACUUGUCUUCUAAUUAAAGAAUAGUAUGAAAGGAAAAACGAAUUCAUAACUUUAUUUACAAUAAUACAUUAAAUUAAUAUAAAAGUAAAAAAGCUUUUAAGAAAAGAAAAGACGACAAGACCCUUAAGAACUUCACUAAAAGUUGCGCUGGGGCGGCACUUUAUAAAAACUAACACACCAUAAUAAAAACCUAAAAACAUAUAAAACAAGUUACCUAAGGGAUAACAGCACAAUAAAGAUCAAGAGAUCUCAUCCAAAUCUUCGAUUAUGACCUCGAUGUUGAAUUACUACACAACUAAAAGCAAAUUUUUAGAUAGUAAGUCUGUUCGACUUUUUAAAAAGUACAU
This 401-nucleotide ribosomal RNA is filed under the name Althepus sp. 131 FL-2018. Its description in RNAcentral is "partial 16S ribosomal RNA". It matches the Rfam family "Bacterial large subunit ribosomal RNA", at positions 1858 to 2601 of the family's 2925-position model. Lineage: Eukaryota; Metazoa; Arthropoda; Arachnida; Araneae; Ochyroceratidae. The record is from RNAcentral.